Non-coding RNA from Schistosoma margrebowiei, 78 nucleotides. The record is from Rfam. Lineage: Eukaryota; Metazoa; Platyhelminthes; Trematoda; Strigeidida; Schistosomatidae.
AGUCUUCUAUAUCCGUGCUGAGAUUUCAUCACACACUAGACCACAAGGGCUGAUGAGACUUCCAAGAUAAGUGAAGCG